This 664-nucleotide long non-coding RNA is filed under the name Sus scrofa (pig). RNAcentral describes it as "lncRNA (ENSSSCG00070026640.1)". Lineage: Eukaryota; Metazoa; Chordata; Mammalia; Artiodactyla; Suidae. The record is from RNAcentral.
AUCUAUUUCGACAUAGUUUCAGUUCCACCCCAGUCGUCGUUCGGAAAGGUUAGCUUAUUCCAGGUUUCCGAAAGCCUUAAAAUCAGUUUUCGGAGUUAGAAGGUGAGCACACAUCUGUCCAGUGGUCACAGAGGUACAGGAGGCCCCGAGCCUUUGCAAAGGCAGGAACGACAGGGUUUGGCACCACAGGUGGAAAAGAAUCCAGUGACACAAAGCCCAGCAUGUGGGAAUUCCUGGGUCAGGGACUGACCCACGCCGCAGGUGCAACCUGUGUGACCGCUGCAGCAGUGCCUCACGGGAACUACCUUGAAGAAUAUGCUUUGAAAACUGUGGCACAAUACACAGGUUCUUGUCUUCAGCCUGAGCAGGAGUGAGUGGCUCACUUCAGCCUCCACCCAGCCCAGCCGCGAAGAUCACGACUCUCGCCUCCACUGCGCAGGUGAAGAAACAGAGGCUCUCAGGACUGAAGGUCACCAAGCAGAGCUGGCCUCUGAGCCCGUGGGCACCUCUCAGCCCACAUGCUUGAAAUACCUUGCCUGGGAUGAUUGAAGAAAGUCUGCAAUUGGUAACCAAGAGUUUCUGUUAAUAUAACAAUUUACAUAAGCCAUAUCCUUAUCUCAGACACAAUUUUUUUUUUUUUUUUUUUGUCUUUUGCUAUUCUUGG